GACGAACGCUGGCGGCGUGCUUAAUACAUGCAAGUCGAACGGUAAGGGCCUACCUUUGUGGGGUGCUUGAGUGGCGAACGGGUGAGUAACGCGUAAGUAACCUGCCUGUGACUUGGGGAUAACUACAGGAAACUGUGGCUAAUACCGGAUAGCAGUAGCUGUUGCAUGGUAGUGGCUGAAAAGUUUCGGCGGCUGGGGUUGCACAUGCGGCUGCUCAGUUUGUUGGUGUGGUAGUGGUUACCCAAGGCUUUGGCGGCGAGCCGGCCUGGGAGGGAGACCGGCCACAUUGGGACUGAGAUAGGGGCCGUAGUGAUACGGGAGGCAGCGGUGGAAAAUAUUGCAAGAUACGCGGAGGCCGGAUGCAGCGACGCCGCAUGCGGGAUGUCGGCUGUAGGAUUGUAAAGCGUUUGCGCCUGUGACGAAGAGAGAGUGACGGUAAUGGAUAAGGAAGCACCGGCUAACUACGUG
This 468-nucleotide ribosomal RNA is filed under the name uncultured bacterium. RNAcentral's name for it is "partial 16S ribosomal RNA". It matches the Rfam family "Bacterial small subunit ribosomal RNA", at positions 28 to 507 of the family's 1533-position model. The record is from RNAcentral.